RNAcentral lists this ribosomal RNA (1439 nucleotides) under Lactiplantibacillus plantarum. Its description in RNAcentral is "bacterial SSU rRNA". It matches the Rfam family "Bacterial small subunit ribosomal RNA". Lineage: Bacteria; Bacillati; Bacillota; Bacilli; Lactobacillales; Lactobacillaceae. The record is from RNAcentral.
AUACAUGCAAGUCGAACGAACUCUGGUAUUGAUUGGUGCUUGCAUCAUGAUUUACAUUUGAGUGAGUGGCGAACUGGUGAGUAACACGUGGGAAACCUGCCCAGAAGCGGGGGAUAACACCUGGAAACAGAUGCUAAUACCGCAUAACAACUUGGACCGCAUGGUCCGAGCUUGAAAGAUGGCUUCGGCUAUCACUUUUGGAUGGUCCCGCGGCGUAUUAGCUAGAUGGUGGGGUAACGGCUCACCAUGGCAAUGAUACGUAGCCGACCUGAGAGGGUAAUCGGCCACAUUGGGACUGAGACACGGCCCAAACUCCUACGGGAGGCAGCAGUAGGGAAUCUUCCACAAUGGACGAAAGUCUGAUGGAGCAACGCCGCGUGAGUGAAGAAGGGUUUCGGCUCGUAAAACUCUGUUGUUAAAGAAGAACAUAUCUGAGAGUAACUGUUCAGGUAUUGACGGUAUUUAACCAGAAAGCCACGGCUAACUACGUGCCAGCAGCCGCGGUAAUAACGUAGGUGGCAAGCGUUGUCCGGAUUUAUUGGGCGUAAAGCGAGCGCAGGCGGUUUUUUAAGUCUGAUGUGAAAGCCUUCGGCUCAACCGAAGAAGUGCAUCGGAAACUGGGAAACUUGAGUGCAGAAGAGGACAGUGGAACUCCAUGUGUAGCGGUGAAAUGCGUAGAUAUAUGGAAGAACACCAGUGGCGAAGGCGGCUGUCUGGUCUGUAACUGACGCUGAGGCUCGAAAGUAUGGGUAGCAAACAGGAUUAGAUACCCUGGUAGUCCAUACCGUAAACGAUGAAUGCUAAGUGUUGGAGGGUUUCCGCCCUUCAGUGCUGCAGCUAACGCAUUAAGCAUUCCGCCUGGGGAGUACGGCCGCAAGGCUGAAACUCAAAGGAAUUGACGGGGGCCCGCACAAGCGGUGGAGCAUGUGGUUUAAUUCGAAGCUACGCGAAGAACCUUACCAGGUCUUGACAUACUAUGCAAAUCUAAGAGAUUAGACGUUCCCUUCGGGGACAUGGAUACAGGUGGUGCAUGGUUGUCGUCAGCUCGUGUCGUGAGAUGUUGGGUUAAGUCCCGCAACGAGCGCAACCCUUAUUAUCAGUUGCCAGCAUUAAGUUGGGCACUCUGGUGAGACUGCCGGUGACAAACCGGAGGAAGGUGGGGAUGACGUCAAAUCAUCAUGCCCCUUAUGACCUGGGCUACACACGUGCUACAAUGGAUGGUACAACGAGUUGCGAACUCGCGAGAGUAAGCUAAUCUCUUAAAGCCAUUCUCAGUUCGGAUUGUAGGCUGCAACUCGCCUACAUGAAGUCGGAAUCGCUAGUAAUCGCGGAUCAGCAUGCCGCGGUGAAUACGUUCCCGGGCCUUGUACACACCGCCCGUCACACCAUGAGAGUUUGUAACACCCAAAGUCGGUGGGGUAACCUUUUAGGAACCAGCC